RNAcentral lists this ribosomal RNA (497 nucleotides) under uncultured bacterium. Its description in RNAcentral is "partial 16S ribosomal RNA". It matches the Rfam family "Bacterial small subunit ribosomal RNA", at positions 28 to 507 of the family's 1533-position model. The record is from RNAcentral.
GAUGAACGCUGGCGGCGUGCCUAAUACAUGCAAGUCGAGCGAACAGAUAAGGAGCUUGCUCCUUUGACGUUAGCGGCGGACGGGUGAGUAACACGUGGGUAACCUACCUAUAAGACUGGGAUAACUUCGGGAAACCGGAGCUAAUACCGGAUAACAUUUGGAACCGCAUGGUUCUAAAGUGAAAGAUGGUUUUGCUAUCACUUAUAGAUGGACCCGCGCCGUAUUAGCUAGUUGGUAAGGUAACGGCUUACCAAGGCGACGAUACGUAGCCGACCUGAGAGGGUGAUCGGCCACACUGGAACGGAGACACGGUCCAGACUCCUACGGGAGGCAGCAGUAGGGAAUCUUCCGCAAUGGGCGAAAGCCUGACGGAGCAACGCCGCGUGAGUGAUGAAGGGUUUCGGCUCGUAAAACUCUGUUAUUAGGGAAGAACAAAUGUGUAAGUAACUGUGCACGUCUUGACGGUACCUAAUCAGAAAGCCACGGCUAACUACGUG